UGGGGAAUUUUGCACAAUGGGGGAAACCCUGAUGCAGCGACGCCGCGUGAUUUAGAAGGCCUUCGGGUUGUAAAAAUCUUUUUUAUGGGAAGAAAAUGUCAGUACCAUAGGAAUAAGGACCGGCUAAUACCGUGCCAGAAGCCGCGGGAAUACGUAAGGUCCGAGCGUUGUCCGGAAUCAUUGGGCGUAAAGGGUACGUAGGCGGGUAAGCAAGUUAGAAGUGAAAUCCUAUAGCUCAACUAUAGUAAGCGUUUAAAACUGCUCAGCUUGAGGUAUGGAAGGGAAAGUGGAAUUCCUAGUGUAGCGGUGAAAUGCGCAGAUAUUAGGAGGAAUACCGGUGGCGAAGGCGACUUUCUGGCCAUAACCUGACGCUGAGGUACGAAAGCGUGGGUAGCAAACAGG
This 402-nucleotide ribosomal RNA is filed under the name bacterium. RNAcentral's name for it is "partial 16S ribosomal RNA". It matches the Rfam family "Bacterial small subunit ribosomal RNA", at positions 355 to 776 of the family's 1533-position model. The record is from RNAcentral.